AAUAGAUACCCAGGUAGUCCACGCCGUAAACGAUGAGUGCUAAGUGUUAGAGGGUUUCCGCCCUUUAGUGCUGCAGCUAACGCAUUAAGCACUCCGCCUGGGGAGUACGGCCGCAAGGCUGAAACUCAAAGGAAUUGACGGGGGCCCGCACAAGCGGUGGAGCAUGUGGUUUAAUUCGAAGCAACGCGAAGAACCUUACCAGGUCUUGACAUCCUCUGACAAUCCUAGAGAUAGGGCUUUCCCCUUCGGGGGACAGAGUGACAGGUGGUGCAUGGUUGUCGUCAGCUCGUGUCGUGAGAUGUUGGGUUAAGUCCCGCAACGAGCGCAACCCUUGAUCUUAGUUGCCAGCAUUCAGUUGGGCACUCUAAGGUGACUGCCGGUGACAAACCGGAGGAAGGUGGGGAUGACGUCAAAUCAUCAUGCCCCUUAUGACCUGGGCUACACACGUGCUACAAUGGAUGGUACAAAGGGCUGCAAACCUGCGAAGGUAAGCGAAUCCCAUAAAGCCAUUCUCAGUUCGGAUUGCG
This 527-nucleotide ribosomal RNA is filed under the name uncultured bacterium. Its description in RNAcentral is "bacterial SSU rRNA". It matches the Rfam family "Bacterial small subunit ribosomal RNA", at positions 777 to 1302 of the family's 1533-position model. The record is from RNAcentral.